UUGCUGACCGUCCAACGCUUCUGCUAGGCAACAUUAUUUUGUCGAAUUGCAGAGACAUUGUCUUGGCGCGGUAUGGUGAGCACUGGAGGCAGUUUCGAAAAAUCUGUACCUUGGAGCUCUUGAGUGCUAAUAAAGUGAAAUCUUUUAGAAAUAUAAGGGAAGAGGAGGCGCGGGACCUUAUCCAAUCCAUUCAAUCAGCGUCAGGGUCUGCGGUUAAUGUGAGCGAGAAGGUCUCUAAUUUGGCAAACUCGAUAACUUGCAGGUCUACAAUUGGAAAGAGAUGCAAGUACCAACAUGAACUCAUUGAGGCUACGGAGAAUAUAGCUUACUGGGGCGCGGGUUUUUUUAUGGCUGAUUUGUUUCCUUCUGCGCUGGUUUUUCCAGUUCUGAGUGGAAUGAAGCCUGCACUUAAGAAGGUUCGUCGAGAGCUUGAUCAUAUAUUUGAUUACAUAAUAAAUGAACAUAAGGAGAAGUUGGCUAGUAGGAAGAAUCAAGGAACCAAGCUUGAGGCAGAGGAUGAAGACCUUGUUGAUAUUUUGUUGAGGAUUAACGACAGUCUGCAACUCGAAUUUCCUGUCACUUCCAACGACAUCCAAGGCAUCGUUUUGGUUAGUAAUGCCAUUUCCUAUUUUGAAUUGUUAUAGUUCUUUAAAUUUUGUUCAUUUAUUCUGUAUAAAUCUUUUAGCUUACGGUUCUUAUUAAUGUUAACAGGAUAUGUUCACCGCGGGGACUGACACGUCUUCAGCAGUGCUAGAAUGGGCAAUGUCAGAGCUGAUGAAAAAGCCAAGCGCGAUGAAAAAGGCACAAGAUGAGCUGAGAACCGCCUUAAAAGGAAAGGAAAGUAUCCGCGAAACUGAUAUCCAAGGCUUGAGUUAUCUAAAGCUAGUGAUCAAGGAAACGCUACGCUUACAUCCCCCGGUUCCCCUGCUACUCCCUAGAGAAUGCAGAAAAGAAUGCGAAAUUGAUGGAUAUACUAUUCCAGUUGGGACCAAAGUCAUGGUAAAUGCGUGGGCUAUUGGAAGAGACCCCGGGCAAUGGGUUGAUGCUGACAGUUUCAUUCCUGAAAGAUUUGAUGGAAGCUCAGUUGAUUACAUUGGAGCCAACUUCGAGUUUAUUCCUUUUGGUGCUGGACGAAGGAUGUGCGCAGGAAUCUCGUUCGGGAUUGCUAGCAUUGAGCUUCCUCUGGCGCAGCUGCUCUAUCACUUCGACUGGACUCUUCCUGAUGGAAUGAAGCCGGAGGAUUUGGACAUGGAUGAAACUUUUGGAGCUACUACGAAACGAAAGAACAGCUUGUUUUUGAAUGCCAGUCCUCACAUUUCUAGCAUCGAAGAGUGACCAAAGAAGUCGAUAUCACCCUUUCAUGAUUGGAUUGUUUUUACUGGAGAGCCGAGAGGGUUUGUUUAUGUUGUCUAAGGACAUGCAGUCUUUUAGAACUCUUUAAUUGAUUAAACGUGUGCGCGCCCGCCAAAGAUUUGUAAUUGUUUCUGAUUCUGUUAAAGAAAUAGAUGAGUAUAGAUAUUUUUGGUAUGUUAAAGUUCAACGUGCCAAGAUCAUCUCUUAACGGUGUUAACUAUACUCGUGGGCUAAACUGGACAUGUAGGAUAUUAGGUAAAAUUUACUGAACCAUGAAAGACAUUUAAAUUUAAUGGUAUUAGCUAUAUUGAGUAUUUAUAAUUUAAAAAAAAUAUAUUAUUAAUAUUUAAAUUCUUAUAAAUAGAAUAUAUCAGUUUAAUAUGAUAAUAAAUAAAAUGUAAUCUUUCUACAGAUUUUUUAUAAAUCUAUAUAGGUUUGAAAAAUAUAAUCUAUUCAUAGGAGGUUGGCUAUAAUUAUAGCUAAAGGGUGGGUGUGGUUGAAGUGUGUUUUUUUUUUAUGCCAAAUCGGUUUUUAGCUAAAGGCUCUUCAUGGUUGAAGAUGCUCUAACACAUGUAUUACCUAAAAUUUUAAAUUACUUAGAAUCUGCUGUUACAGAAAGCCUCUCCCUUACGAACCUUAUAUUCUCUCUGCCCUUGAAGUAGCUUUCAUCGAUUUUCCCUGGUGGAAAGUCCCAAACUCUUUUAUCUGUAUUUUUCGAUUUGUUUCCUUCAAUAAUCUUUCUCUUUGAAGAAGAAUUUCUAUCUUUUUGAUCAGGUUUGGCUUGUUUUUCUGGAUCUAUAUCAUAAGAGUUUUCGAUUUACUUUUUAUUCUAUGCGAGCGGAGCUUAUCGGAUUGGAGAGUUUAUCGUCUAUCUUGUGACUUCGACUAUUAGAUCUAAUUUUUUCUUUUUUUUUGAUUUCUUUUCAGUUUGCUAAUUUUAUUUCGUUUUUCGACUUGUACUUUCAGGUAUCUUCUCUUCCUAGUGAGAGUUCUGUUUUCGCUUCUUAAUUGUAAGCGGGAGUCUUAUAUUGAUGAUGAAAUUUUGUAUGAAAUCGCAAUUCUGAUCGAUAACUCAAACGAGAGCUCUAUAUCGUUUAUCUGUGUGUUUAUAAAAACAGGCGAUUGCAAUUUACUAGUUAUUUGUUCGACUUGAUCAUUCGUCUAGAUGUCCUAUAUUUUUUUGUUAUUAGAUUAACACUUUUGUGUCAAAAAAAGAAUCUGCUGUUACUAUUCAAGAUUGAAAUACUUCAACUGAUCUUUAGCAAGAUUUGCAAUAAUUUUAUCUUUGAGUCGGACUUGAUCCUUAAUUUUAAAAAUCUCAGGCGAUUAACAAACAUGCAUAAACACUAUUACAACCCUUAACAUUAAUCGAUUAUUUACCAACCCUUAGAAAGUAGGGAAUUGCAAAUUAAAAUUGUCAUUAGAGCAUCUCCAACCGCGUUGGCUAUAAUCGCUGGCUAAAUUGGACCUGUAAGACAUUAUGUAAAAUUUGCUGAACCUGUAAGACAUUUUGCUUCAAUGGUACUGGCUAUAUUGGUUCGCUAUAAUUUAAAAAUAGUAUGUUAUUAAUAUUUUAAAUUGUUAAAAUAGAAUAUAUCAGUUCAAUAUGGUAAUAGAUGAUGUACAAUCUUCCUACAGAUUUUCUUACAGACCUGUAGAGGUUCGACAAAUUUAGCCAUCCAUAGGAGGUUGGCUAAAUAUAUAGACAACAGAUGAGCAUGGUUGGAGUUGAGUUUUUGGAGCUGUUGGCUAAAAUUUUUUAUUUUAGGUAUGCCAACUCACCUUUUAUCCAAGGGUUUUAGAUGGUUGGAGAUGCUCUUAGCAAACAUAAAAGAACCAAAUUUUCAGUUAUUAAACAAAUCUGAAUCGAGUUUUUAAUGUAAUUUAUGGUAAUAUAUUAAUUGUUGAAUUUUUAAUUUAUGUUAAUAGUGCACCCAAUCUUCAUAUAAUCUAUUUGAAAAUGGUAAAAUUAAUGUACAAUAUGUAUCAUCGAUGUAUAUAUAAUUUGUAUUUUGAGAUCUCAAUACGUAUCAUUAAUGUGGAAGGAUUUCAAAGAUCUCAAAAUACAUAGAAACAAUUUGAAUAAUAUAUUAUAUGGACUUGUAAGAUGGUAAUAAUGAUUUAAUCUUUUUAUUUAAGGAAGUACAAUUAAAAAAAUCGUGUGAUUGAUGUGUAUAUAUACGUAUUUUUAAAAUAUAAUAUACUACCACUCGAGUUUAACAAAGAGAAUAUUAGCAUGUAUGUAUAAAAUAUAGACAACAAGAUCAAAAGAGAAUCAAUAAUAGAGAUCAGGGUAUGACAAACCGGGUCAAAUUCCAAGUUUUUCCGAAAAUCGGGUCAAGUCCCGAAUUCCGAAUCUGAAAAUAAGCCGAAAAUAAACUGAAUUAACUGCAACAACUUGGGUAAAUCACAAGCCCACCACAGGCCCCCCAAAAGAUCAUGAUUUGUUGGUGCAAUUGGUAGUAGCCCAUACGCCCAUAUCGCACCUAUCUAGCUAUUGUGGUACCGGCUGGCUUCGUGUCCCGUCUCUGGAUCUCUAUUCAUUGCGGGAUAAUAUCACCAGCCUUCGUGUCCCCACCUUUGGCAACUUGACUAAUCAAGUUUUCGAGAGCUGGCUUUGAAUACCAUAUGUGACAACCUGGAUCAAAUCCCGAGUUUUUUCCAAAAAUCGGGUCAAGUCCCGAAUUUCGAAUUCGAAAAUAAACCGAAAAUAAACUGCCCCAACUGUAGCGACUUGGGUAAAUCACAAGUCCACCACAGGUCCCUAAAAGAUCAUGAUUUGUUGGUGUAAUUGGUAGUAGUAGUACUUAUGCUUAUAAACUGAACUAAAGUCUCCACACUUCUCAAUGUGGGACUAGGGUGUUACAAUCGUGUCUCAGUUCUCUUGUUAGUUUCCUGUCUCUUUGAACAUCUCCCUAUUUUUAUGUAUUCAUUAUGGUAUAUAUUUUAUAUAUAAUUUAUAAUUUAUUAUUCAUAGUUUUUUUAUAUUAUACAUCGUGAUAUAUAUUAUUUAAUAUUUAAAAUUUUUUAUUUUUCUUUAGCAUUAUACAAUGUUCAAGUUAUCAUAGUCAGUAAAUAUGAAAUUUGAAAUGAUCUAUUUAAUGUUGUAUAUUAAAUUGUUGAUGUCUCAAUUAAUCGAUUGUUAAUUUGGUAUGCAAUAACUUUUAAUAUAUUUGAAAAAUUUAUUAAAUACGAUUAAUUUAAAAAAAUUUGAUCCACUAUUUCCAUCUCAUAGUUCAAGCAUAAGUAUAUUUUAUAUAGGGUUAUUAUAACCGAUAAAUUAAACCAUUGUCAAUAAUGAUAAUUAAUAUGGUUUAAGUGUAUAUUUUUGUAUAUUAAACAAUCCAAUAAUCCUAAUUUUGAAAAAAACACACUUAAUUAUCAUAAUUUAGACAUGUUUAUAAUCUUAUUAUUUUUAAUUUGUUUUAAGAUAUCCGAUUGAAAUCCCAAUCUGAUUCGAGACCCGGAAAAACCUGACGAUUUGGAUUUGGAUUUACCGUUUAAUAUCUCAAUCCGAAUCCAAUCCGACCCCAAAUAUAAUGAAUUAGAUAUGAAUUUCAUGAAAUCCAAACAAAUCCGACAUGAUUAGUAUCCCUACACAUAUGUUAUAACGAUGAUUCAAUAUUUAUACAAGUGAGCCGUCAAGAGUCAAGGCUCGCAUAUUCUAUUCUGUUUUGAGGAGCAACCACUUACGACUGUCAAAUUCUUCCAUAUAUCUGAGAACAGAAAUUUGGGCAGUCAAUAUAGAACCUUCACAAUAGUAAUAAAACAAAUGUUUUCAAGUGCACUUUGAAGAAAUAUAAUCUGACUAUCAUAUAUGAGAAAACAACUGAACUGAAAACUAAAACUAUGGUGGGUUGGUUGUGACCAAGGAGCCGCCGUCCGCCCAUGCGAAAAGUUUGGAAAAUGUGUGCAUGCUUCAUACUGAAGUUUUGCGUACAUCUUCGCCGAAUACUACCUCUUCCAGCUAUGUAUAUACGUAGUCAUUACGUUGGUACAACUGUUCUGUAUUUUUUUUUGAAGGAACUGUUCUGUAUUUAAUUACACCCAAAACAAGUGCAAUGCUAUUUAAAGAAAAUAGCAGGGUUCUUAAUGCAAAGUAAUCCUGAAAAAUUUAAUUAAUAAUUAAAAAAGUGUGAUACCUGAAAAAUGGAUUAAUUUUGGAAUAAGAUAUAGUACCAAAUAUGGGAGAAAUAUUGUUAAUUUAGUAUCAAAAAUUAUUUUUUGAUUUCAAAUUAUAAUAAUAAUCUAUUUUAACAUAAUUAUUAGACUUGUUCUAACUAAUUAAAUAAAAUAAUAUAUAUUAUUAUCCGGUGACUGAACCAUCAAUUGAAAAGAAAUACGAUAUCAUAAUUUUUUUCACUAAGUAUUCAAAUUUAGGGGUGUAAUCAUCGAGCCGUGCCGAGUCGAACAGUACUGCCACGCUCGGCUCGAGCUCGACUAAGAAGUUCGGGUUCAACUCGAGCACGAGUUUGACCGAGUCUUUAAUUUUAAGUUCGAAGCUCGGCUCGUCAAAGUUCGAUAGGCUCGAGUUCGACUCGAAAGCUCGAAUGAUGUCAUCAAAUAUUAACAAAAACUUGAAACAUGAUCGGGUUCGACUCAAGUUCGAUCCGAUUAAAUAUAUAAAAAGAUAUAAAAAUUAAAUAUUUUAUGUAGUAAUUUGGAAAUAAUAUAAAAAUAACUAUAAUAAUACAUGCUCAAUUAGGCUCGCGAAACUCACGAACUGAGUAAUAUGAAGCUCGAACUCGGCUCGGUAAAUUAUUUGAAUAGCUCGAGUUCGAGUUCGAGUUUGACUCAAUUAUUUUCGAGCUGAAUUCAAAAAUUUUACGAGCCGAGCUCGAGCAUCUCACGAACUAUUCGACCCAUUUACACCCGUGUUCAAAUUCAACCAGGUUCAACUAAUCACCGAAUUUUGAAAACAACAUAUGACUUUAUCAUACGAUUUUUCAUUUUUGAACUGGAACAUGAUUUUAAUAUAGGCUAGUCUUCUUGAUUCCACCCUUUUUAUAAUAAAACACAGAAAGAAAGACCAGGACUUUCAACGCUUCCUCAAAAUAAAUUAAAAAACUAAAUCAUCCUUUUCAUGUUUAAAAUUUAUACAACGAUUUCUGCACCAGUUUAACUCUCCUUCCUUGCGUAUUCAGGAGCCACCAGCACGUACGCGGAACGGCUGAAGCCUAUAAAUUGAACAUGCACUGCGCCAAAAAUAAUAUCAUCAACCACAUUUCAAAUCGCAACAUCAAAACAAGAAAAAAAAAAUCAUAUUAUCUAGGUACCAAAUGGCUAUCCAGAUUGUCCCCAUUCUUACGUUCAUGGUCAUUUCUUUCAUGCUUCUCAAUCUCCUGAAAAAAUUGUUCCGAAAAUCGAAGAAACUCCCUCCAGGGCCAUUCAGGCUUCCCAUACUAGGCAACUUGUUACAAGUCACUGGCGCACUCCCUCACCGCAGUCUCUACAAUUUAUCGAAAACUCACGGCCCCCUCAUGCACCUCCAGCUCGGUGAGGUCUCUGCUGUCGUUGUAUCGAACCCGAGAGUCGCUAAAGAAGUUCUCAAGACUCAUGACCUCUGUUUUGCUGACCGGCCAACGCUUCUGCUUGGCAACAUUAUUUUGUCGAAUUGCAGAGACAUUGUCUUGGCGCGGUAUGGUGAACACUGGAGACAGUUUCGAAAAAUCUGUACCUUGGAGCUUCUGAGUGCUAAUAAAGUGAAAUCUUUUAGAAAUAUAAGGGAAGAGGAGGCGCGGGACCUUAUUCAAUCCAUUCAAUCAGCGUCAGGGUCUGCGGUUAAUGUGAGCGAGAAGGUCUCUAAUUUGGCAAACUCGAUAACUUGCAGGUCUACAAUUGGAAAGAGAUGCAAGUACCAACAUGAAC
RNAcentral lists this long non-coding RNA (7221 nucleotides) under Daucus carota (carrot). Its description in RNAcentral is "long non-coding RNA (DCAR_LNC004699)". Lineage: Eukaryota; Viridiplantae; Streptophyta; Magnoliopsida; Apiales; Apiaceae. The record is from RNAcentral.